This 1215-nucleotide long non-coding RNA is filed under the name Arabidopsis lyrata. RNAcentral describes it as "long non-coding RNA (ALYR_LNC002447)". The record is from RNAcentral. Lineage: Eukaryota; Viridiplantae; Streptophyta; Magnoliopsida; Brassicales; Brassicaceae.
AAAUAUAGAAGAUGCUUACCUUUUUUUUUUCCUUAAAAAAACAAAAAUUAGAUUUGAGCAUCGUUCGUCCCUCCCUCUCUACACCUUCAAACCCUAAAAUCUCUUCUCUCCCUUUAUCCAUCUCCAAAUUCGCCUCUCACAAUCCAAAUUAUUCAUUGUUCUUCUCCUUCUGCUCUUCCUUUCCCUCUUCUUUCACUCUCCCUCUCACCCUCUCAAUCUAAUGUCAAUACCAUUGUUGGAUAAUGAAAAUCUCCAGAUCGAGAAGAGAAGCUGGUGUCGGUCGGAGAAGGUGUGUUGGUUUUGUCUCUCUUUCCCCUUUGAAUCUGCGUUUGGGAUUAGGGUUUCGUUUCGUGGUCUGGUUUGUAAUGACCUUAAUCUUCGAAUUCGUUUGAUUUCCCUCGAGGAAGCCUUCAUCAUUGUCGAAGCUUUGAAUCGAUUUUUUUUUUGUUAGUAUCUUUUAUUGUUUCUUCCAUCAAUUCCAUCAGCGACUAGUCAUUCAAGUCAGAUUAGAAAAUGGGGUUUCUCGGACUUAGUUCAUUGGGACUUUAUAUCAAUCAAGACUUGUUUUUGUUGUUGUUUGGAUUUUAGGGAAUGGGAAGCUUGUAAGAUUUGCGAAGUGUCUGUGAUUGUAAAAGCUUAAAUUCAGCUUCUCAUUUUGACAUAAGGUGAUUCUUAAUUUUUGGAUGAUGAGACCACUAAGAAUUUUACCUUUCAGGUUGUUGAUCAUUACGGUUAGAGAACAACAAACCAAACAUUGAAAGAGCAAGAAGCUAGUCCCAUCAUGAAAAAAUCUAUGUAGCUUCUGGAAAGCAUGGGGGUAAAGGUCUUAAAGAGAAAUAAAGAUAAUUAGAGAUUUUGUCUUUUCUUUGUCAUGAAUUGAUUCUGUUCGUUGUUGACUUUUUCUUUGAUUGAUUGGUUUCUCUGUUUACUAAAUCUAUAUAUAGCUUUUUUUGUCUAGGUUCUUCAAGAUCCAGAAGCCCAAAAGAGAAGUGUUUCGUAUGGGUGACACCUACCAUAGCUGCUGAUGUCAUAGCAUUUGUGAAUUCGCUAUGUUAUACGUAUGAUAGCAUAUUUUUCGCGCUAACGAUGAACAUAUUUCUUGUAGUAUGUGUUACAAACUCACCAUGGUUUAUUUAUAGGCAUACACAUAAUACAUAAGUGUAUAUAUAGAUGCAAUCAUGCAUGGUGGUGAUUGGUGAAUAUAUGAUAUAGUUU